GACGAACGCUGGCGGCGUGCCUAAUACAUGCAAGUCGAACGCUGAAGGAGGAGCUUGCUUCUCCGGAUGAGUUGCGAACGGGUGAGUAACGCGUAGGUAACCUGCCUGGUAGCGGGGGAUAACUAUUGGAAACGAUAGCUAAUACCGCAUAACAGUAGAUGUUGCAUGACAUUUGCUUAAAAGGUGCAAUUGCAUCACUACCAGAUGGACCUGCGUUGUAUUAGCUAGUUGGUGAGGUAACGGCUCACCAAGGCGACGAUACAUAGCCGACCUGAGAGGGUGAUCGGCCACACUGGGACUGAGACACGGCCCAGACUCCUACGGGAGGCAGCAGUAGGGAAUCUUCGGCAAUGGACGGAAGUCUGACCGAGCAACGCCGCGUGAGUGAAGAAGGUUUUCGGAUCGUAAAGCUCUGUUGUAAGAGAAGAACGAGUGUGAGAGUGGAAAGUUCACACUGUGACGGUAGCUUACCAGAAAGGGACGGCUAACUACGUG
RNAcentral lists this ribosomal RNA (495 nucleotides) under uncultured bacterium. RNAcentral's name for it is "partial 16S ribosomal RNA". It matches the Rfam family "Bacterial small subunit ribosomal RNA", at positions 28 to 507 of the family's 1533-position model. The record is from RNAcentral.